Cololabis saira (Pacific saury) is the source of this 532-nucleotide long non-coding RNA. RefSeq lists it as uncharacterized. Lineage: Eukaryota; Metazoa; Chordata; Actinopteri; Beloniformes; Belonidae. The record is from RefSeq and is a predicted model, not a curated record. The transcript is spliced from 3 exons.
UUGUAGGAGGAGCAGAAUUUUCUGGCAGGACGGACAGUAAUUUUAAUAGGAUAGCCACUUACCAAGCUGCACGUUUCAUUUUAGGAGCACUUUAGUGGGUUUCAUUUUAGUGGGUUAAAGUUAGCAAACAAGUUGAGUGAGCUGACAGAAGGCAAAAAAAAAAAACACAAACACCUCAAACUAAUUGAAUGGCUCCAAAAGAAAAAAAUACUGAGAUGGAAAGUCAAGUGCAACCGGUGCCAUCACAAAAUGAAGCUGAAGAAAAAGAUUGUGGAUCUGUGGACCGAUUUGAAUGCUUGAUUUCAUGAUGGACAACAUUGCUGCAUCCUCAAGAACCCUUUCAAGAAUGGCAAAGCAACAGGAGGUCUGCGUGACAGCGAUGGAGAGGCUGCAUCAUAGAGAAGGACAGAGAAUUGGGGGAAGGAGCAUUUCGUGGUGAUAGAUGAGUCACUUCAGACAUAAAAGAAAGUAUGGAAGGGGCAGGAUGGCUGGGGGCUGGAAGCGGAGGAAGUGGGUGUUCGGGAUGCUGGGG